This is a ribosomal RNA of Erinaceus europaeus (western European hedgehog), 120 nucleotides long. NCBI's taxonomy places the organism in Eukaryota, Metazoa, Chordata, Mammalia, Eulipotyphla, Erinaceidae. The record is from Ensembl.
GUCUAUGGCCAUACCACCCUGAACACGCCCGAUCUCAUCUGAUCUCGGAAGCUAAGCAGGGUCGGGCCUGGUUAGUACUUGGAUGAGAGAAGAGUUUAGUGCCCCCAGUUCCUAUAGAGC